AUAUAUAUAUAUAUAUAUAUAUAUAUAUAUAUAUUGACAUUCUGCCUUUUAAAACCAUCGUAAGCAGCCAUUUAAGUAGUAAUUUGUGUGUCUAUAGUUGGACUUAUAGACACAGAUUCAACAUAUCACAUGGUAUUUCAAUGUGUGCUAGUGCUGCAGAUAUGGAAAAAAGAAAGAAAGUCUAUCCUAAAGGGAAUAUAAAUAAAGAAUAGUAAACAAAUACAAAAAAUUAACAGUAAUAAUAAUAAUAUAGUAUGUUAUUUCUGUAUUGUGCCUCCACGCAGGUCUAGAACGCCGAUUGUAUAGUAUUGCAUUGCUCAUGGUUUUAAAAGGAAAGAACAGAGCAAAGCCCGGCUGUGGAGACGGAGGAACUAGAGCCAAAAGAGGAAGAAAAGUCGCAGCAGACCACCGCCUCUCCACCUCCAAGUCCUGAACCAGUUCAGAUUGCUGCGCCGGAACCAGAACCAGAACCAGAACCAGAACCAGAACCAGAGCCAGAGGUCGAGCCCCAGGAAGCGCACUCAGAAGCCGAGCCUGUGACCCAGCAGCCACAGAGAGCAGAGGAAGGCGGUCAAAGCACUGAGGCGGACAAAGCUGGUGAAAAAUUUUACUUUACCCUACAUCCUUGACCAGCAUCAACAUGGCAGAUAACAUCUUCUGCCGUACAACCCUUUCCACCAGUUAUACCUAUAAUCAUUAUCUUAUCUUAUCAAAUGAUCUAGCCAUGGGACUCUGACAUGUUUAGCCCAUGCAGGACCGAAGGGAGAAACCAAUUCAUGUAAUUGAAUAGCUUCAGGCUCAUUCAAAUUCAUACGUACGAGUCAUUCUUUCAGAGGAUAUUCACAUAUCUCACAUCCGAUCCCAGCUAAUCCUCACCCUUCCACUGACAUUCAUUUCAAUGCUUUGUGUUCAUUGUAGGAGGAGGAAGCUCCUGGAGACGACUGUGGUGGUGUGUACCUUUCUAAUUUGUUGUAUUUUUUGUUGAUAUUCUGUAUCUGACGGUAAUUAGAGCUGCCAUAUUCCUGCUCUAAUUACCAGCCUCAUCCCUGUAUUUCAUACUGUUGCGUUUAACUCAC
This is a long non-coding RNA of Gasterosteus aculeatus aculeatus (three-spined stickleback), 1076 nucleotides long. The record is from Ensembl. Lineage: Eukaryota; Metazoa; Chordata; Actinopteri; Perciformes; Gasterosteidae.